CUACGGGGGGCUCCAGUGAGGAAUAUUGCGCAAUGAGGGGAACCCUGAUGCAGCAACGCCGCGUGGAGGAUGACGCAUUUCGGUGGGUAAACUCCUUUUAUAUGUCAAGAAAAUGACGGUAGCAUAUGAAUAAGCACCGGCUAACUCCGUGCCAGCAGCCGCGGUAAUACGGAGGGUGCAAGCGUUACUCGGAAUCACUGGGCGUAAAGGACGCGUAGGCGGGUUGGAAAGUCAGGUGUGAAAUCCUACAGCUUAACUGUAGAACUGCACUUGAAACUUCUAAUCUAGAGUAUGGGAGGGGGAGAUGGAAUUAGUGGUGUAGGGGUAAAAUCCGUAGAUAUCACUAGGAAUACCUAAGGCGAAGGCGAUCUCCUGGAACAUUACUGACGCUAAGGCGUGAAAGCGUGGGGAGCAAACAGGAUUAGAUACCCGUGUAGUC
Molecule: ribosomal RNA, 439 nt
Filed under: uncultured bacterium
Lineage: Bacteria
Description: partial 16S ribosomal RNA
Rfam family: Bacterial small subunit ribosomal RNA
Source: RNAcentral